Molecule: ribosomal RNA, 253 nt
Filed under: uncultured bacterium
Lineage: Bacteria
Description: partial 16S ribosomal RNA
Rfam family: Bacterial small subunit ribosomal RNA
Source: RNAcentral
UACGUAGGGUGCGAGCGUUAAUCGGAAUUACUGGGCGUAAAGCGUGCGCAGGCGGUUCGUUGUGUCUGAUGUGAAAGCCCCGGGCUCAACCUGGGAAUGGCAUUGGAAACUGGCGAGCUGGAGUGUGGCAGAGGGGGGUGGAAUUCCGCGUGUAGCAGUGAAAUGCGUAGAGAUGCGGAGGAACACCGAUGGCGAAGGCAGCCCCCUGGGCCUGCACUGACGCUCAUGCACGAAAGCGUGGGGAGCAAACAGG